GACAGAGGGUGCAAACGUUGUUCGGAAUUACUGGGCGUAAAGCGCGUGUAGGUGGCAAGGCAAGUCGGGUGUGAAAGCCCUGGGCUCAACCCAGGAAGUGCACUCGAUACUGCCUCGCUAGAGUCCCGGAGAGGUUGGUGGAACUCUCGGUGUAGAGGUGAAAUUCGUAGAUAUCGAGAAGAACACCGGUGGCGAAGGCGGCCAACUGGACGGUGACUGACACUGAGACGCGAAAGCGUGGGGAGCAACAGG
RNAcentral lists this ribosomal RNA (252 nucleotides) under uncultured bacterium. Its description in RNAcentral is "partial 16S ribosomal RNA". It matches the Rfam family "Bacterial small subunit ribosomal RNA", at positions 524 to 775 of the family's 1533-position model. The record is from RNAcentral.